This 668-nucleotide ribosomal RNA is filed under the name uncultured bacterium. Its description in RNAcentral is "bacterial SSU rRNA". It matches the Rfam family "Bacterial small subunit ribosomal RNA", at positions 9 to 653 of the family's 1533-position model. The record is from RNAcentral.
GAGUUUGAUCAUGGCUCAGAACGAACGUUGGCGGCGUGGAUUAGGCAUGCAAGUCGAACGCGAAAGGGUAGCAAUACCCGAGUAAAGUGGCGAACGGGUGAGUAACGCGUAGGAAACCUGCCUUCGAGUGGGGGAUAACACUCCUAACGGGGUGCUAAUACCGCAUGAAACUAAGGGGUCGCAUGGCCCCAUAGUCAAAGGUGGCCUCUAUUUAUAAGCUACCGCUCAAAGAUGGUCCUGCGUCCCAUUAGCUAGUUGGUGAGGUAACGGCUCACCAAGGCUUCGAUGGGUAGCCGAUCUGAGAGGAUGACCGGCCACACUGGGACUGAGAUACGGCCCAGACUCCUACGGGAGGCAGCAGUCGAGAGGCUUCGGCAAUGGGGGAAACCCUGACCGAGCGACGCCGCGUGGAGGAUGAAGGCCUUUGGGUUGUAAACUCCUGUCAUGUGGGAAGAAACGCUAUCGUUCGAAUAGGGCGGUAGUUUGACGGUACCACAAGAGGAAGCUCCGGCUAACUCCGUGCCAGCAGCCGCGGUAAUACGGGGGGAGCGAACGUUGUUCGGAAUCACUGGGCGUAAAGGGUGCGUAGGCGGCCAAGUAAGUGAUGUGUUAAAUCCUCCGGCUCAACCGGAGAACCGCAUGUCAUACUGCUUGGCUUGAGUGCAGCA